This 482-nucleotide ribosomal RNA is filed under the name uncultured bacterium. Its description in RNAcentral is "partial 16S ribosomal RNA". It matches the Rfam family "Bacterial small subunit ribosomal RNA", at positions 30 to 507 of the family's 1533-position model. The record is from RNAcentral.
AUUGAACGCUGGCGGCAUGCCUUACACAUGCAAGUCGAACGGUAACGGGCCUUCGGGUGCCGACGAGUGGCGAACGGGUGAGUAAUACAUCGGAACGUGCCCGAUCGUGGGGGAUAACGAGGCGAAAGCUUUGCUAAUACCGCAUACGAUCUACGGAUGAAAGCAGGGGACCGCAAGGCCUUGCGCGGACGGAGCGGCCGAUGGCAGAUUAGGUAGUUGGUGGGAUAAAAGCUUACCAAGCCGACGAUCUGUAGCUGGUCUGAGAGGAUGAUCAGCCACACUGGGACUGAGACACGGCCCAGACUCCUACGGGAGGCAGCAGUGGGGAAUUUUGGACAAAGGGCGCAAGCCUGAUCCAGCCAUGCCGCGUGCAGGAUGAAGGCCUUCGGGUUGUAAACUGCUUUUGUACGGAACGAAAAGCCUUCUUUUAAUACAGGAGGGUCAUGACGGUACCGUAAGAAUAAGCACCGGCUAUCUACGUG